Molecule: ribosomal RNA, 253 nt
Filed under: uncultured bacterium
Lineage: Bacteria
Description: partial 16S ribosomal RNA
Rfam family: Bacterial small subunit ribosomal RNA
Source: RNAcentral
UACAGAGGGGGCAAGCGUUGUUCGGAAUUACUGGGCGUAAAGGGCGCGUAGGCGGCCAACUAAGUCCGACGUGAAAUCCCAAGGCUUAACCUUGGAACUGCGUCGGAUACUGGAUGGCUUGAAUUCGGGAGAGGGAUGCAGAAUUCCAGGUGUAGCGGUGAAAUGCGUAGAUAUCUGGAGGAAUACCGGUGGCGAAGGCGGCAUCCUGGACCGACAUUGACGCUGAGGAGCGAAAGCUAGGGGAGCAAACGGG